Molecule: transfer RNA, 66 nt
Filed under: Scelimena sp. 1 JL-2023a
Lineage: Eukaryota; Metazoa; Arthropoda; Insecta; Orthoptera; Tetrigidae
Description: tRNA-Asn
Source: RNAcentral
UUAAUUGAAGCCAAAAUCAGAGGCAUAUUAUUGUUAAUAAUAAAAAUGAAUUUAAUUCCAAUUAAA